Molecule: ribosomal RNA, 377 nt
Filed under: uncultured bacterium
Lineage: Bacteria
Description: bacterial SSU rRNA
Rfam family: Bacterial small subunit ribosomal RNA
Source: RNAcentral
CACGUAGGGUGCAAGCGUUGUCCGGAUUUAUUGGGCGUAAAGAGCUCGUAGGCGGCUUGUCGCGUUGAUCGUGAAAACCCGAUGCUUAACGUCGGGCUUGCGGUUGAUACGGGCUGGCUGGAGUGUGGUAGGGGAGACUGGAAUUCCUGGUGUAGCGGUGAAAUGCGCAGAUAUCAGGAGGAACACCGGUGGCGAAGGCGGGUCUCUGGGCCAUUACUGACGCUGAGGAGCGAAAGCGUGGGUAGCGAACAGGAUUAGAUACCCUGGUAGUCCACGCUGUAAACGUUGGGCGCUAGGUGUGGGGGAUGGUUCACGUUCUCUGCGCCGUAGCUAACGCAUUAAGCGCCCCGCCUGGGGAGUACGGCCGCAAGGCUAAA